This 27-nucleotide small RNA is filed under the name Bombyx mori (domestic silkworm). Its description in RNAcentral is "ovarian small RNA-30468". The record is from RNAcentral. Lineage: Eukaryota; Metazoa; Arthropoda; Insecta; Lepidoptera; Bombycidae.
UGAAAGAAUCGGUCGAGUUAUGUUUGU